AACCAUGUUGCAGACACUCAGUACGGAACAUGGAGUCCCUAGUGGUUGACAUGGAUGCUUUUCUCCCCAGGAAGUUUCCUUCAUAUAAAUUUUUGCGGUAGAAUUUGGUUAUUAAGUCUUAUCUCUGUAUGUCCCUCAAAAGCCUAAUGGGCUCAUAGGUUCCUAACUAAAACUGCAUCACAAGAAAUGCCACCUGUCUCUUCAAUUAAAAAGCAGAAGAUAAAUUGUUGGACCUUGAAUCAUUGCUGAUGCUUCUACAAGGGAUACCAUUCAAGUGUGUCAGAGUUGGACAUCUUGCCUCUCCCAAAAGAGGUUUAAAAGUGAAACGAAAACCACAAACAAGAGUAGAAAUGGGCUGUCCUGAAGUCUCUUGCCACAAAGAAGAAGGAGGAAGAGAAGAAGAAAACAAAAGGAGGAAAAGAGAGAGAAGGAUGUAGAAGAAGAGGAAGAAAAGAUAAAGGUAGGGAACCAGCCUUGGGGAAAUAAAAAACUGAGACCUCCACA
This 504-nucleotide long non-coding RNA is filed under the name Fukomys damarensis (Damara mole-rat). Its description in RNAcentral is "lncRNA (ENSFDAG00000023434.1)". The record is from RNAcentral. Lineage: Eukaryota; Metazoa; Chordata; Mammalia; Rodentia; Bathyergidae.